GCCGUCCUUGCCGUGCGACCCUAGCCCUGUUUUGUCUCUGCCCAGCCUUCCGCAGCCCGAUCCCCUCCGGCCACCGUUCGGCCUCACCAGAGCUCCCCUCACCCUCCGCAGGCCCCGCUUUGCCAGCUUAGCCACCGGACGAGCUUCGUCCAGCCAAGAACAGUGGAUGGAAAAGUGGGUUUCCAGCACUGUUCAAGGCCCGCUUUGGGCCGUUCCGGGCCCCGAACCCGAGCCGUGCUUUGGAGUUUAUCGUUCCUCGCGCCGUCCCCGGAUUGGUCCGAUUUGUGUGCGAUUCUGGCCUGUAGAUGAGCCUGUGGAGGAGGAACCAUAAGAGGACGAUGAGUCGGAAAAUGAUGAAGAGCUUGAAGGAUGUGAGCUCAGCGAAGAAUGAUGAAGUCAGAAGAGGAUCAGGAUGAUCCUGAGUAUGAAUCGGAUGAGGAUUGAAAUCCCAUCUCUUGGUGAACCCUUUGUAUAUGUGUAGAUAGAGUGAGACUUCGAAGUUGUGAAUAGUUUGUGAAGUGCUCUGUCUAAUGCCAUGUAUAAAGGUUCGGUUGUAGAUUUCAAUAUGAAAAAUAUGGCCUGCUUUUCUA
This is a long non-coding RNA of Eucalyptus grandis, 590 nucleotides long. RefSeq lists it as uncharacterized. Lineage: Eukaryota; Viridiplantae; Streptophyta; Magnoliopsida; Myrtales; Myrtaceae. The record is from RefSeq and is a predicted model, not a curated record. The transcript has 2 exons.